Molecule: ribosomal RNA, 253 nt
Filed under: uncultured bacterium
Lineage: Bacteria
Description: partial 16S ribosomal RNA
Rfam family: Bacterial small subunit ribosomal RNA
Source: RNAcentral
UACGUAGGGUGCGAGCGUUGUCCGGAAUUAUUGGGCGUAAAGCGUGCGCAGGCGGUUUUGUAAGUCUGUCGUGAAAUCCCCGGGCUCAACCUGGGAAUUGCGAUGGAGACUGCAAGGCUAGAAUCUGGCAGAGGGGGGUAGAAUUCCACGUGUAGCAGUGAAAUGCGUAGAGAUGUGGAGGAACACCGAUGGCGAAGGCAGCCCCCUGGGUCAAGAUUGACGCUCAUGCACGAAAGCGUGGGGAGCAAACAGG